AAAAACACAAAGAAAAAGACGAGACACGAGAAAUGGAAGUAAAUUAGGUGGUGAGGUGGGCAGCUCGGGAGAGGUAUCUGUAGCCGAAGAAGAAACCGGCAACAAGGAGAGGAACCAAGAAUUCCAGAAGAGCAGCAUACGUGGGCGUGCUGUCAUUCUUGAUGACGAAAGCGCUCAUUUCUUUGGUCUUUGUUUCCUUGUAGGGAGCAUCCUUAGUGGAUGCUGCACCGUCCUGGAUGUUGUAGCCUUGGAGAACUCCGACCUGGUACUUGAGGAGUAAGUUU
This 284-nucleotide long non-coding RNA is filed under the name Vitis vinifera (wine grape). Its description in RNAcentral is "long non-coding RNA (VVIN_LNC005993)". The record is from RNAcentral. Lineage: Eukaryota; Viridiplantae; Streptophyta; Magnoliopsida; Vitales; Vitaceae.